GGUUAAGUUAGAAAGGGCGCACGGUGGAUGCCUUGGCACUAGGAGCCGAUGAAGGACGGGACGAACACCGAUAUGCUUCGGGGAGCUGUAAGCAAGCUUUGAUCCGGAGAUUUCCGAAUGGGGAAACCCACCACUCGUAAUGGAGUGGUAUCCAUAUCUGAAUACAUAGGAUAUGAGAAGGCAGACCCGGGGAACUGAAACAUCUAAGUACCCGGAGGAAGAGAAAGCAAAUGCGAUUCCCUGAGUAGCGGCGAGCGAAACGGGACCAGCCCAAACCAAGAGGCUUGCCUCUUGGGGUUGUAGGACACUCUGUACGGAGUUACAAAGGAACGAGGUAGAGAUGAAGAGGUCUGGAAAGGCCCGCCAUAGAAGGUAACAGCCCUGUAGUCAAAACUUCGUUCUCUCCUGAGUGGAUCCUGAGUACGGCGGAACACGUGAAAUUCCGUCGGAAUCCGGGAGGACCAUCUCCCAAGGCUAAAUACUCCCUAGUGACCGAUAGUGAACCAGUACCGUGAGGGAAAGGUGAAAAGCACCCCGGAAGGGGAGUGAAAGAGAUCCUGAAACCGUGUGCCUACAAGUAGUCAGAGCCCGUUAACGGGUGAUGGCGUGCCUUUUGUAGAAUGAACCGGCGAGUUACGAUCCCGUGCAAGGUUAAGCAGAAGAUGCGGAGCCGCAAAUGAAAGCGAGUCUGAAUAGGGCGAAUUGAGUACGUGGUCGUAGACCCUAAACCAUGUGAUCUACCCAUGUCCAGGUUGAAUUUCAGGUAAAACUUAAUGGAGUCACGAACACAAGCACGUUGAAAAGUGCGGGGAUGAGGUGUGGGUAGGGGUGAAAUGCCAAUCGAACCUGGAGAUAGCUGGUUCUCUCCGAAAUAGCUUUAGGGCUAGCCUCAAGGUAAGAGUCUCGGAGGUAGAGCACUGAUUGGACUAGGGGCCCCUACCGGGUUACCGAAUUCAGUCAAACUCCGAAUGCCGAUGACUUAUCCUUGGGAGUCAGACUGCGAGUGAUAAGAUCCGUAGUCGAAAGGGAAACAGCCCAGACCGCCAGCUAAGGUCCCAAAGUAUACGUUAAGUGGAAAAGGAUGUGGAGUUGCUUAGACAACCAGGAUGUUGGCUUAGAAGCAGCCACCAUUUAAAGAGUGCGUAAUAGCUCACUGGUCGAGUGACUCUGCGCCGAAAAUGUACCGGGGCUAAACGUAUCACCGAAGCUGCGGACUGUUCUUCGAACAGUGGUAGGAGAGCGUUCUAAGGGCUGUGAAGCAAGACCGGAAGGACUUGUGGAGCGCUUAGAAGUGAGAAUGCCGGUAUGAGUAGCGAAAGAGGGGUGAGAAUCCCCUCCACCGAAUGCCUAAGGUUUCCUGAGGAAGGCUCGUCCGCUCAGGGUUAGUCGGGACCUAAGCCGAGGCCGAAAGGCGUAGGCGAUGGAUAACAGGUUGAUAUUCCUGUACCACCUCCUCACCAUUUGAGCAAUGGGGGACGCAGGAGGAUAGGGUAAGCGCGGUAUUGGAUAUCCGCGUCCAAGCAGUUAGGCUGGGAAAUAGGCAAAUCCGUUUCCCGUGAAGGCUGAGCUGUGAUGGCGAGCGAAUUAUAGUAGCGAAGUUCCUGAUUCCACACUGCCAAGAAAAGCCUCUAGCGAGGUGAGAGGUGCCCGUACCGCAAACCGACACAGGUAGGCGAGGAGAGAAUCCUAAGGUGAUCGAGAGAACUCUCGUUAAGGAACUCGGCAAAAUGACCCCGUAACUUCGGGAGAAGGGGUGCUCUGUUAGGUGCAAGCCCGAGAGAGCCGCAGUGAAUAGGCCCAGGCGACUGUUUAGCAAAAACACAGGUCUCUGCGAAGCCGUAAGGCGAAGUAUAGGGCUGACGCCUGCCCGGUGCUGGAAGGUUAAGAGGAGCGCUUAGCGUAAGCGAAGGUGCGAAUUGAAGCCCCAGUAAACGGCGGCCGUAACUAUAACGGUCCUAAGGUAGCGAAAUUCCUUGUCGGGUAAGUUCCGACCCGCACGAAAGGCGCAACGAUCUGGGCACUGUCUCAACGAGAGACUCGGUGAAAUUAUAGUACCUGUGAAGAUGCAGGUUACCCGCGACAGGACGGAAAGACCCCGUGGAGCUUUACUGCAGCCUGAUAUUGAAUGUUGGUACAGCUUGUACAGGAUAGGUAGGAGCCUUGGAAACCGGAGCGCCAGCUUCGGUGGAGGCAUCGGUGGGAUACUACCCUGGCUGUAUUGACCUUCUAACCCGCCGCCCUUAUCGGGCGGGGAGACAGUGUCAGGUGGGCAGUUUGACUGGGGCGGUCGCCUCCUAAAAGGUAACGGAGGCGCCCAAAGGUUCCCUCAGAAUGGUUGGAAAUCAUUCGCAGAGUGUAAAGGCACAAGGGAGCUUGACUGCGAGACCUACAAGUCGAGCAGGGACGAAAGUCGGGCUUAGUGAUCCGGUGGUUCCGCAUGGAAGGGCCAUCGCUCAACGGAUAAAAGCUACCCCGGGGAUAACAGGCUUAUCUCCCCCAAGAGUCCACAUCGACGGGGAGGUUUGGCACCUCGAUGUCGGCUCAUCGCAUCCUGGGGCUGUAGUCGGUCCCAAGGGUUGGGCUGUUCGCCCAUUAAAGCGGUACGCGAGCUGGGUUCAGAACGUCGUGAGACAGUUCGGUCCCUAUCCGUCGCGGGCGCAGGAAAUUUGAGAGGAGCUGUCCUUAGUACGAGAGGACCGGGAUGGACGCACCGCUGGUGUACCAGUUGUUCUGCCAAGGGCAUCGCUGGGUAGCUAUGUGCGGACGGGAUAAGUGCUGAAAGCAUCUAAGCAUGAAGCCCCCCUCAAGAUGAGAUUUCCCAUUCCGCAAGGAAGUAAGAUCCCUGAAAGAUGAUCAGGUUGAUAGGUCUGAGGUGGAAGUGUGGCGACACAUGGAGCUGACAGAUACUAAUCGAUCGAGGACUUAACCAA
This 2930-nucleotide ribosomal RNA is filed under the name Bacillus velezensis. RNAcentral's name for it is "23S ribosomal RNA". It matches the Rfam family "Bacterial large subunit ribosomal RNA". The record is from RNAcentral. Lineage: Bacteria; Bacillati; Bacillota; Bacilli; Caryophanales; Bacillaceae.